GGGGGGGGGGGGGGGGGGGGGUGGGGCGGGGGGGUGGGGGGGUGGAGGCCUGGGGGUUGGUGGGGUGGAGGGGUGGCGGAAGGGGGAGUAACACGGGCGUAACCUGCCCGCUUCUUUUGGAUAACGCCCGGACACGGUUGCUGAUACUGGAUCUUCAUCGAUCUUCUCCUGGUGGUUGGUGGCAGGGUUUGUUCCGUUGAGCGAUGGGUUCGCGGCCUAUCAGCUUGUGGGUGGGGUGAUGGACUUGCAAGCCGUUGCCGGGUAGCCGGCCGGAGAGGGUGACCGGUCACAUUGGGACUGAGAUGCGGCCGAGACUCCUACGGGAGGAGGCAGUGGGGAAUAUUGCACAAUGGGCGAAAGCCUGAGGCAGCGACGCCGCGUGAGGGAUGGAGGCCGUCGGGUUGUAAACCUCUUUCGCUCAUGGUCAAGCCGCAACUGUGGGUUGUGGUGAGGGUAGUGGGUAAAGAAGCGCCGUCUAACUACGUG
RNAcentral lists this ribosomal RNA (486 nucleotides) under uncultured bacterium. Its description in RNAcentral is "partial 16S ribosomal RNA". It matches the Rfam family "Bacterial small subunit ribosomal RNA", at positions 38 to 507 of the family's 1533-position model. The record is from RNAcentral.